Molecule: non-coding RNA, 181 nt
Organism: Aegilops tauschii subsp. strangulata
Lineage: Eukaryota; Viridiplantae; Streptophyta; Magnoliopsida; Poales; Poaceae
Source: RefSeq, a predicted model, not a curated record
GCACAUGGUCAGGUUAUCUCUUUACCGUCAUUUGAGGGUAGAUUUAAUCCUGCUAUUUAUCUAGCUUGGGAGCUUGAAGUAGAACAAGUUUUUAGUUACCAUGACUUUUCUGAAGUUGAGCGAGUACGAGCUGCCACUAGAGCAUUUACUGGUUUUGCUUCUGUUUGGUGGAGUGUGCAUU